GACGAACGCUGGCGGCGUGCUUAACACAUGCAAGUCGAACGGUGAAGCGCCUUCCUUUUUGGUGGGUGUGUAUGAGUGGCGAACGGGUGAGUAACACGUGAGUAACCUUCCCCCUCCUUCUGGAUAACCGCAUGAAAGUGUUGCUAAUACGGGAUAUUUUGAGUCUGUCGCAUGAUGGGUCUGGGAAAGUUUUUGUUUCGGUGGGGGAUGGGCUCGCGGAUUAUCAGCUUGUUGGGGGGGUGAUGGCCUACCAAGGCGGUGACGAGUAGCCGGCCUGAGAGGGUCGACGGCCACACUGGGAAUGCGCCACGGCGCAGACUACGAGGGGAGGCAGCAGUGGGGAAUACUGCAUAAUGGGAGCAAGGCUGAUGCAGCGACGCGGGGUGAGUGAUGGAGGCCUUAGGGUUGUGAACUUCUUUCGCCAGUGAAGCAGGCCUGCCUCGUUUGUGGGUGGGUUGACGGUAGCUGGAUAAGAAGCGCCGGCUAACUACGUG
Molecule: ribosomal RNA, 494 nt
Filed under: uncultured bacterium
Lineage: Bacteria
Description: partial 16S ribosomal RNA
Rfam family: Bacterial small subunit ribosomal RNA
Source: RNAcentral